This 120-nucleotide non-coding RNA is filed under the name Heterosigma akashiwo. The record is from RNAcentral. Lineage: Eukaryota; Raphidophyceae; Chattonellales; Chattonellaceae.
AUCAAAGAAGUGCAUGCGCCAACUGUCUGGUCCUUUGUAAUUAAGAAUCCUGACGCAAGUUUCCAGGAUCUCCCAGAUACCGUACCAAAAAGACUUGGGCCAUUACUUGAAAAACACUUC